AAAGCCUCCCCCAAGGCCCCAAAUCCACACUAGAAUACAACCUCCUUCCUAGGAGGAGCACAGGCGAGGGAGGGCCGGCUCUAUGGUCCUGCAUGAAGGUACAAGAGGCGAGGGUUGGAGGUGUGUGACUCACACAGGCUGGUCAGAGGCCCCGGAGUUCAGCCUCUGUCGGGUAUUUACCUACCCAUCACCAGCCGCUGACUACGUGCUCACUGUGUACCAGGGACCUGGCCAAGGGCUUCACGUGUAAUCUCAUUUAAUUCUCACAAGAGAUGCAGAGAGGUGACGUGACUCAUCAGGUGACAUGACUCACCAGGUCACCUAGCUGGUAAGGGAUGGAACUGGGUUGUGCAUAGAGGCCUAUCUGUGUCCACAGGCAGGCUCCCAGCCACCACCCUCCAGUUCCGUGGCCCUGCUCUGGGACGUGGGAAGAUAAGAAAGAAGAAGGGCUCCAGGACUCAGCUGCUCCUCGUUGUCCCACCUACUGGUCCCACCUACUUUGCUCUCUCCCAGGCCUGGCUGUGGACCUGGCCCCUCCCAGCCUCCAGGAUCUGAGGGAAACAGCUGGCUCCCCUCCUCACCACACCCCGGCGGCCAUUCUCUUGGACCCCUCCCAAGGGUACCACCUAGCCCUGGUCUGUGGACAAAGUCAAAGGGGGGCCUUAUCUCUCAGGAUCUGUCCCUCAGGGACUAGUCAUCACCUCUGUCCACCUCCUUCCCUUCAGCCGCCUACCUGCCCACACAGUAACACCUGAAUAUCUUCUUUCAACCUGAUCCCAGGCACAAUAUCAUAAUACAAAUAACAAUGAUGGCAAUAAUAAUGGCAGCUGUCACUCAUUUGGCAUCAUUUAAAUAGAGGCACAGAGAGGUUAAGUUAUGCCCUUAAGAACAAACAGCCAUCUCAUUCAAUUAAGCUGGUGUCUGAAUUUAGGUUGGGCUUCUGUAAAUCAAACUUCUUUGGUGUCCAGAGAUUCAGCGCCCUCCCCUGCAGCCUCCUACAACGGUCCUAGUCCCAACCAUCAGUUCUAAUUUUUGACUUCUAAUCUAUCCUCCUCUCAGCUUCUAGUCACCACCUCCCACCAACAGCCAUCCAACUAGAUGCACUACUCUCCCUCGCCACUAGGUGUCCCCUUGGAGCCACUGAUGCCCCCAAGGGGAGCUGGCCCUGCCCCGCCCCCUGGGGCCAUCAGGGCCCCCCCACAGCACAGCACAGCAGUGCACACCCCACCCCACCCUACCCCCAGCCACACAGAGCUCCUUUGUGCAACCCUCGCCCACCCCCUUCCUCCCUGGAACAGGGCACCUGGCAAGCAGGUCUGCCCCAGAACCGCCCCCUGCCAGCCCCCUGCCCUGGGUGCCAGGUGUGUGGGCGCCACCGCCAGCUCUGGCUGGACCCGAGGGUCACCCUGCCGGCGGCCCUCCCUUCCUCCCUCCGAGGUCACCCAGGGACUAAGCUUCCCGCCCUGCUCCGCCCCCCUCCCCUCCUGCCCUUGGCCCUUCCAGACUCCCGUCCUUGUCUUUCCUUCUGUCUCCCGGAGGACUCCCCUCCUCCAGCCCCACUAGGCCUUCCCUGCAGCCUCUCACCCCCGCCCACCUCCUUCCCCAGAGAGCUCCUUGUUCCACGCCCCCCCGCUCCCCGCCCAGGUCUGAAGAACUCCUCCUCCUGGAAAGUUGCUGCUGGAAAGGAAGUGACUUCAGCAAUUUGGCCACAAGGCUGGGCACUGCUGAGCCCAGCUCAGCUCAAGGCUUGCCCAACCCACCUCCAAAGCACAAAUGGAGCCACAUGUGCACAUCACUCCCACUGUGCACCCAGAACCCUGAGCACACACUUAGCCAGUGUACACACAGAUCCCCGUGUGCAUACACCGUACCAUCGCAGUGUAUUCAGAUCUUGUCUAUACACACAUCUCUCCAGUGUACACUAGCACCCUUGCACACAUGACAUCCAGUGUGGCACACACAGUAUCCCCACACCUGCCCAGUACACACCCAGAAUCCUGCAUAUUCAUACUUCCGGGUACCACAUACACAGCCCUUGAACGCUCCCCAGCCCAGUCCACUUACACAACUCUUGUAUAUUACCCCAUGUGCACGGAAGGACAGAGCCUUCCACACACACCUGCUUGCACACAAGCUUGAGUGCCCUGUACAUUUACAUUCGGAUACACACAGCCUCGCAUCCUCCCACAGCUGUACCUCCCCACCCUUACAAUCCCAGGAGACUCCACCCCCAGACCUCAGGCCCCAGGAAUGCUCCUUUGGAAGUAGGGUGGGGUCCCCAGGCAGGCUCAGCUCUAGGGAGCUUCCUGGAGCCGCAGGCUUCAUGUGUCAGUUCAGGGAGUUGCCUCUGCAGGGCAGGGCAGCUUCACCUGGCUCUGCAGCUCCUGAGCCUGGGUGGGCUAACCUGGGCCAGGAGUAGGGAGGUGGGUCCUGCCACUGCCCCCGCCCCCUCCCUGUCCUGCAAGGGCACCUUAGCAUACCUGGGCUACCCAGGCCCUCCCAGCACC
This 2507-nucleotide long non-coding RNA is filed under the name Homo sapiens (human). RNAcentral describes it as "HSALNT0003769". The record is from RNAcentral. Lineage: Eukaryota; Metazoa; Chordata; Mammalia; Primates; Hominidae.